This 66-nucleotide transfer RNA is filed under the name Apatania sp. YW-2014. Its description in RNAcentral is "tRNA-Cys". Lineage: Eukaryota; Metazoa; Arthropoda; Insecta; Trichoptera; Apataniidae. The record is from RNAcentral.
AGUUUUAUAUUCAAUUAAUGAUUUUAAAUUGCAAAUUUAAAGUAGUAAAUUCAUUUACUAAAGCUU